Molecule: ribosomal RNA, 254 nt
Filed under: uncultured bacterium
Lineage: Bacteria
Description: partial 16S ribosomal RNA
Rfam family: Bacterial small subunit ribosomal RNA
Source: RNAcentral
UAAUACGAGGGGGGCAAAUGUUGUUCGGAUAUACUGGGCGUAAAGCGCACGUAGGCGGCGCCGUAAGUCAGGGGUGAAAUCCCGGAGCUCAACUCCGGAACUGCCUUUGAAACUGCAGUGCUAGAAUCCUGGAGAGGCGAGUGGAAUUCCGAGUGUAGAGGUGAAAUUCGUAGAUAUUCGGAAGAACACCAGUGGCGAAGGCGACUCGCUGGACAGGUAUUGACGCUGAGGUGCGAAAGCGUGGGGAGCAAACA